RNAcentral lists this ribosomal RNA (38 nucleotides) under Mucor circinelloides. Its description in RNAcentral is "partial 28S ribosomal RNA". RNAcentral also lists the same sequence under 1 other name. The record is from RNAcentral. Lineage: Eukaryota; Fungi; Mucoromycota; Mucoromycetes; Mucorales; Mucoraceae.
AUUUGAUCUGAAAUCAGGCGGGAUUACCCGCUGAACUU